Molecule: non-coding RNA, 45 nt
Filed under: Trypanosoma brucei brucei
Lineage: Eukaryota; Euglenozoa; Kinetoplastea; Trypanosomatida; Trypanosomatidae
Source: RNAcentral
AAUACCAAUAAAUGACAAGAUCAUAGUUACGUGAUAGAUGAUAAU